AUGAAUGUUGAUGCUGCGUUAUCUCGCGAUGGUGAAAGGGGAGCCUUGGCAGUUGUGAGCCGGGAUCAUACAGGCUUCUUCCUUGGAGCAUCGGCAUUGGUGUGCGAAAGUGUUACUGGUCCAGAGAUCCUAGAGGCAAUGGCAUGUUGCGAGGGGCUAUCUCUGGCUCUUGACUUAAACCUGCAACAAGUUCAGAUUAGCACCGAUUGUUCAGCAACAGUCAAGCAUAUUGUAGAGGCAUACUUGGGGCCCAGCAAAGUUAUUAUGGAUGAGAUCAAGAUGAAGAAGAAUAUGUUCCAAACCAUGGAGAUCAUACAUGAAAAACGCGAGUGUAAUAUUGAAGCGCAUGUGCUCGCAAAAGCUGCUACUUCUUUGCCCUAUGGACGCCAUCUUUGGCUCACAGGAACCCCCAAAAUUAUUUGUAUACCUAUGACCGUUAAUCUUCAAUAA
Molecule: ribosomal RNA, 450 nt
Filed under: Triticum aestivum (bread wheat)
Lineage: Eukaryota; Viridiplantae; Streptophyta; Magnoliopsida; Poales; Poaceae
Description: partial small subunit ribosomal RNA
Source: RNAcentral